GGAGAGGUGACCGAGAGGCCGAAGGUGCACGACUGGAAAUCGUGUGUACGGCGACGUACCGUGGGUUCGAAUCCCACCCUCUCCGCCA
This 88-nucleotide transfer RNA is filed under the name Nitrospirota bacterium. Its description in RNAcentral is "Nitrospirae bacterium (marine sediment metagenome) tRNA-Ser". It matches the Rfam family "tRNA". From Rfam's summary of the family: Transfer RNA (tRNA) molecules are approximately 80 nucleotides in length. Their secondary structure includes four short double-helical elements and three loops (D, anti-codon, and T loops). Lineage: Bacteria; Pseudomonadati; Nitrospirota. RNAcentral also lists the same sequence under 1 other name. The record is from RNAcentral.